This 72-nucleotide transfer RNA is filed under the name Camelus bactrianus (Bactrian camel). It matches the Rfam family "tRNA". From Rfam's summary of the family: Transfer RNA (tRNA) molecules are approximately 80 nucleotides in length. Their secondary structure includes four short double-helical elements and three loops (D, anti-codon, and T loops). Further hydrogen bonds mediate the characteristic L-shaped molecular structure. tRNAs have two regions of fundamental functional importance: the anti-codon, which is responsible for specific mRNA codon recognition, and the 3' end, to which the tRNAs corresponding amino acid is attached (by aminoacyl-tRNA synthetases). tRNAs cope with the degeneracy of the genetic code in two manners: having more than one tRNA (with a specific anti-codon) for a particular amino acid; and 'wobble' base-pairing, i.e. permitting non-standard base-pairing at the 3rd anti-codon position. RNAcentral also lists the same sequence under 1 other name. The record is from Rfam by way of RNAcentral. Lineage: Eukaryota; Metazoa; Chordata; Mammalia; Artiodactyla; Camelidae.
AGGGCAAUAGCUCAGUGGUAGAGCGCCUGCUUAGCAUGCACCAGGCCCUGGGUUCAAUCCCUAGUACCUCCA